UCAGGACGAACGCUGGCGGCGUGCCUAAUACAUGCAAGUCGAACGGUCUUUCUAUGGAAGCUUGCUUCCACUGAGAAGAUAGUGGCGAACGGGUGAGUAACACGUGGGUAACCUGCCCAUAAGAGGGGGGAUAACAUCCGGAAACGGGUGCUAAUACCGCAUAGUUUUCUUGAUCGCAUGAUCGGGAAAGGAAAGACGGCCUUUGUGCUGUCGCUUAUGGAUGGACCCGCGGCGUAUUAGUUAGUUGGUGAGGUAACGGCUCACCAAGACGAUGAUACGUAGCCGACCUGAGAGGGUGAUCGACCACAUUGGGACUGAGACACGGCCCAAACUCCUACGGGAGGCAGCAGUAGGGAAUCUUCCGCAAUGGACGAAAGUCUGACGGAGCAACGCCGCGUGAGUGAAGAAAAGGUUUUCGGAUCGUAAAACUCUGUUGUCAGAGAAGAACAAGUUGGAGAGUAACUGCUCCAGCCUUGACGGUAUCUGACCAGAAAGCCACGGCUAACUACGUGCCAGCCGCCGC
This 523-nucleotide ribosomal RNA is filed under the name uncultured bacterium. RNAcentral describes it as "bacterial SSU rRNA". It matches the Rfam family "Bacterial small subunit ribosomal RNA", at positions 24 to 518 of the family's 1533-position model. The record is from RNAcentral.